UACAGAGGUCCCGAGCGUUGUUCGGAUUCACUGGGCGUAAAGGGUGCGUAGGUGGCAUGGUAAGUUUGAUGUGAAAGCUCAGGGCUCAACCCUGAAAUGGCAUUGAAUACUACUGUGCUGGAGGUUUGGAGGGGGGACUGGAAUUCUUGGUGUAGCAGUGAAAUGCGUAGAUAUCAAGAGGAACACCAGUGGCGAAGGCGAGUCCCUGGACAACACCUGACACUGAGGCACGAAAGCUAGGGGAGCAAACGGG
RNAcentral lists this ribosomal RNA (253 nucleotides) under uncultured bacterium. Its description in RNAcentral is "partial 16S ribosomal RNA". It matches the Rfam family "Bacterial small subunit ribosomal RNA", at positions 524 to 776 of the family's 1533-position model. The record is from RNAcentral.